Ribosomal RNA from Sphaeramia orbicularis (orbiculate cardinalfish), 119 nucleotides. Lineage: Eukaryota; Metazoa; Chordata; Actinopteri; Kurtiformes; Apogonidae. The record is from Ensembl.
GCUUACGGCCAUACCACCCUGAACACGCCUGAACUCGUCUGAUCUCGGAAGCAAAGGAGGGCCGGGCCUGGUCAGUACAUGGACAGGAGACCGCCUGGGAAUACCAGGUGCUGUAAGCU